GGUUCAGAUGAACGCUGGCGGCAGGCCUAACACAUGCAAGUCGAACGGUAACAGGAAGCAGCUUGCUGCUUGCUGACGAGUGGCGGACGGGUGAGUAAUGUCUGGGAAACUGCCUGAUGGAGGGGGGAUAACUACUGGAAACGGUAGCUAAUACCGCAUAACGUCGCAAGACCAAAGAGGGGGACCUUCGGGCCUCUUGCCAUCAGAUGUGCCCAGAUGGGAUUAGCUUGUUGGUGGGGUAACGGCUCACCAAGGCGACGAUCCCUAGCUGGUCUGAGAGGAUGACCAGCCACACUGGACUGAGACACGGUCCAGACUCCUACGGGAGGCAGCAGUGGGGAAUAUUGCACAAUGGGCGCAAGCCUGAUGCAGCCAUGCCGCGUGUAUGAAGAAGGCCUUCGGGUUGUAAAGUACUUUCAGCGGGGAGGAAGGUGUUGUGGUUAAUAACCACAGCAAUUGACGUUACCCGCAGAAGAAGCACCGGCUAACUCCGUGCCAGCCGCCGC
RNAcentral lists this ribosomal RNA (506 nucleotides) under uncultured bacterium. Its description in RNAcentral is "bacterial SSU rRNA". It matches the Rfam family "Bacterial small subunit ribosomal RNA", at positions 28 to 518 of the family's 1533-position model. The record is from RNAcentral.